GCGGGAGUAGCUCAGCUGGCAGAGCGCCUCCCUUCCAAGGAGGAUGUCGCGGGUUCGAAUCCCGUCUCCCGCUCUA
RNAcentral lists this transfer RNA (76 nucleotides) under Chloroflexota bacterium. Its description in RNAcentral is "tRNA-Gly". It matches the Rfam family "tRNA". Rfam says of the family: Transfer RNA (tRNA) molecules are approximately 80 nucleotides in length. Lineage: Bacteria; Bacillati; Chloroflexota. The record is from RNAcentral. RNAcentral also lists the same sequence under 1 other name.